GAUGAACGCUAGCGGCAGGCUUAACACAUGCAAGUCGAGGGGUAGAGGAAGCUUGCUUCCUUGAGACCGGCGCACGGGUGCGUAACGCGUAUACAAUCUACCUUUUACAGAGGGAUAGCCCCAGAGAAAUUUGGAUUAAUACCUCAUAGUAUUUUCGGAUCGCAUGAUUUGAUUAUUAAAGUUCCAACGGUAAAAGAUGAGUAUGCGUCCCAUUAGCUAGAUGGUAAGGUAACGGCUUACCAUGGCAAUGAUGGGUAGGGGGUCCUGAGAGGGAGAUCCCCCCACACUGGUACUGAGACACGGACCAGACUCCUACGGGAGGCAGCAGUGAGGAAUAUUGGACAAUGGCGCAAGCCUGACUCCAGCCAUGCCGCGUGCAGGAAUAAGGU
Molecule: ribosomal RNA, 389 nt
Filed under: uncultured bacterium
Lineage: Bacteria
Description: bacterial SSU rRNA
Rfam family: Bacterial small subunit ribosomal RNA
Source: RNAcentral